CCUUAGUACGGGCGAGUGAAGCGGCAAAAGCUCAAAUUUGAAAUCUGGCACCUUCGGUGUCCGAGUUGUAAUUUGAAGAAGGUAACUUUGGAGUUGGCUCUUGUCUAUGUUCCUUGGAACAGGACGUCACAGAGGGUGAGAAUCCCGUGCGAUGAGAUGCCCAAUUCUAUGUAAAGUGCUUUCGAAGAGUCGAGUUGUUUGGGAAUGCAGCUCUAAGUGGGUGGUAAAUUCCAUCUAAAGCUAAAUAUUGGCGAGAGACCGAUAGCGAACAAGUACAGUGAUGGAAAGAUGAAAAGAACUUUGAAAAGAGAGUGAAAAAGUACGUGAAAUUGUUGAAAGGGAAGGGCUUGAGAUCAGACUUGGUAUUUUGCGAUCCUUUCCUUCUUGGUUGGGUUCCUCGCAGCUUACUGGGCCAGCAUCGGUUUGGAUGGUAGGAUAAUGACUAAGGAAUGUGGCUCUACUUCGGUGGAGUGUUAUAGCCUUGGUUGAUACUGCCUGUCUAGACCGAGGACUGCGUCUUUGACUAGGAUGCUGGCAUAAUGAUCUUAAGCCACCCGUCUGAAAACCGGAACCACA
RNAcentral lists this ribosomal RNA (576 nucleotides) under Debaryomyces hansenii. RNAcentral describes it as "eukaryotic LSU rRNA". It matches the Rfam family "Eukaryotic large subunit ribosomal RNA", at positions 78 to 664 of the family's 3401-position model. Lineage: Eukaryota; Fungi; Ascomycota; Pichiomycetes; Serinales; Debaryomycetaceae. The record is from RNAcentral.